GCGCAGCCCGGGUUCCCGCCCGUUCCUCUCUCUCCACACCUGCCCGCAAGCUGAAGGAGCCAGCUCCAGUCUCAGCCAGCCCAGGAAGCGGCUCCCACAGUGCAGCGGCGGGCUGAAGCGCUCCUCAAGUGCCGCCAAAGUGGGAGCCCAGGCAGAGGAGGCGCCGAGAGCGGGCGAGGGCCGCAAGGGCUGCCAGCAUGCUGUCAUCUCUCAAGAGCUCCCUCAGAGGCCUAUGUAAGGUUUGUGAUCAAACCAGAAUGACUGAGCGGACUCCUGUUAGAGUCCUAUGUUCUCAGAGAAAUACUGGGGGAGAAAUCAAGAGGUGCUUUAUACUAAGAUAUUGACUUUGGUUGUGAGCAGUUCUUCUGGCUGAAUUGAUUUAUGAUACACUCUGUUGCUAUCCAGACAGUUUCCAGUGAAAUGACAAAGAAGUUCUGCUUCCAUACCCAACUAAUCAAUGGAAAGCAAAGCAAGACCAGACAAAACAAAACCUUUUAUAUAAAGUGACUGGAUAUUAAAUGUCAUGUUGUAUAUGCUAUGUGUGAAAAUAAAGAGCAGACAUACAUAUCUUGUUAAUCGAUAUUGCUAUUUGCUUUCCAAAGAUAAAUUUAUAUCUAGUACAGAGACUAUUAAAACUGUUGUUGCAUUGAAUGGUUUGUUUAAAAAUAAAUAAAUGCCCAUACAUGUUAUGUGAGUGUUAAUAUUUCUGCUUACAGCAUUAAUAUUUGUGAGAAUAUAGACAUUCAAACAUUUAAAUUAUUAAACAUUUAAAUUAGUAAUUGACUAAAUGAAAUUAAUAUUCUGGUAGAAAAAUGCCUAAUACAACAAAUUCUUUUGACAAAUUAAAGAAGACCAUGGAAUACAUUCAGAUUUCUCAAUUAAUUGAGAAAUUACUGUUUCUUAUAAUAUAUUACAGAUUAAAUAAUACAUUUUUACAAACUAUUUUCACUCUAUCUUAAAAUUACAUUCAUAUACUUCCAAUUGCAUUUGUUUUGAAGUAUCAUAAAUAUCACAAUGCAUGGAAUAUAAUACAAGAAACUAUCAUAUAUUAUCUGCAUAUUCCUAAACACUUAGUAGUGUGGGGCAUUGUGCUCAGAAAGUAAAACCUGUGGAAGUUGGAGACGUACAAGCCAAGGAGUUAUAGAAAGGUAGAGUGAGGACCGAUAUUAAUGGAUCUUGCAUGCCAUAAUAAGCCCUAAAGAAAUAUUGAUUAAUUUAAAAAGAAAAUAAGUGACAUAUCUGUAUUUGUUUGAGCAAGAUACCUAGGUACAGUGUGGAGACGGAAAAGGCUGUAGAUAAAUAGAAUAUUAUUCCUGUGAUACAAAUAGUAUAAGAAAAAUAUCUGAUAGGAGUGGUGACUGGACAGAGAAUGAAAAGGGAAUAUAUUUGUGAGGCAUUUUGAAUAGAAUGUUAUAACUUGGUUACUGAUGGAACAUGGGUGGCAAGAUAGAGGAAUGAGUUGAGAAUGUUUCUCAUAUUUCUAGCUCACAGAUUAUCUAAUGUGAGCAUUACAUUUAUUUAAUCUUUGUAUUAAUAUCAGUACAAUGUACCUUAUUAAUUUUUAAUUUAUUUAAUAACAAUGUUGAAUAUGUUUUAAUUUUAUACACAUUUGGCAAAAC
RNAcentral lists this long non-coding RNA (1619 nucleotides) under Homo sapiens (human). Its description in RNAcentral is "HSALNT0045213". Lineage: Eukaryota; Metazoa; Chordata; Mammalia; Primates; Hominidae. The record is from RNAcentral.